Molecule: RNA transcript, 1849 nt
Organism: Malus domestica (apple)
Lineage: Eukaryota; Viridiplantae; Streptophyta; Magnoliopsida; Rosales; Rosaceae
Source: RefSeq, a predicted model, not a curated record
GGCAUGCACUAUUCACCUUUGUUUUGAUUUUGCUUUAUUUACAACAAUACCAGCCGAAUGUGGCUGGGUUGGGGGGUGAUUCUCAAAAAUUCAGAGGGUGAUUUUGUCUUUUGAGGUCAAUUCCUCCCCCCUCGAUUUUGCUUUAUUUACAACACAACCGUGUGAUUUGGGGCUGGGUUGGAACGUAGUUAUUAAAUGUUAGGAGGGUAAUUUUGUCCUGUAUGCUUGAGACGGAUUGGGGUGGGUUUGGGUAUGCUGUCAUUCAGUGAGGGAUUCGGGGAUGGGAGGCCAUGCCUCCGAUAGAGAGAGAGAGACAGAGCGAGAGAGAGGGAGAGGGAGGAGUGGGGAUGUCAGUGCCAUUGCUGCAGAUCCUCGAUUUCAUGAGUGGGAGAGGGGGGACAACCAGAGAAAAGUAUGGGGGUACUCCGAUCUCUCUCUCUCUCUCCUCCGUUUCUCUCUCUUAAUUUCCUUUUGGUUUUGGAAAUCUCUGACCUUUUGGGUGAGUGAGAGAUUAUUGAUGAUGAGAAAAGUAUGGAGGUCUGACCUUUUGGUUUGGGUAUGCUUUCAUUCCUCAAUUUUCUCCAUCCGAGCAAUGAAAAAUCGAACUGGGUUUUCAGAUUAUUGAUGCACAGGGAUUCACGGACAGAGAAGGGAGAGAGAGAGAGUUGAUUGAGGGAGUUGGUGAGUAUGGGCUUGCACAGAGGGAAGAUCAAAACAAACGUGAAAAGCGCCUGCCCUCCCUCCUAAGUGGGAAAUGGCGAGCGCAGUGGACCCAAUUUCAUGGCAGGUAACCAUCUUCAAUUUUUCGGUUUGAUUUAAAGGAAUUUUUUAGGCAGAAAAGCUAUGGCUUUCCGAAGUUUGUACUGCCUCAUCAUUAGAACUGUUUCUUUCUGCUCUUCUUCUCGAAACAAGGUCGCAGAUCCACAGGCCAUCAAGGUUCACUAUCAGUAAAAGGCACAUGAAAUACGAAUAGACAAUGUGUUGUUCAGGAAUACGAAACAUGAGACGUGGUUUACUUCAUAUGGCAUAGACAGGUUGCAAAACCCUCUGUUCUCAAGGUCGUGAUUGAGGGGAGUUUGAAAUGGCAAUUGGAAUUAAGGUCAUAAUACAUAGUCAUUUGCAACCAAGUAUUCAUAUUCAACUUAUGCGUGGUUUACUCUUCUUCAGCCUAUUUUUUCACACUUUCAGUCAUCAGUAGGUGGGCUAAGGAAUUCCCACAUGUAGCAUUGUAAGUUUCUAAAUACAUGCAGACAAUGUGGAUUAUUAUGUAUGAUCAAUGGUAAUUCAUUUGUUUAAUUUUUUUUCUUAAAUGUCCCAAGCUUUGAUCACAAAUUGAGAUAGAACUGAAAGAAAAUAAACUAAGAGUUGAAGACGCUCUGAGGAAAUUGGCCUUUCCUGGUCCGUUUUGCGAUCACAGAUACUCACGCCUAAAUUCUCUAUCGGUUUCAUCGAGGACAUGAAGACUAGGUUAAUGAGAAGUCUUUGUAGCUGAUGGAAUUACAUCAUUUCCAAAGUUGCAGAUAAGGAUUACAAGGUGGUUCUGAUAUGGAGGAGAAGCUGCAAGAGCUUAUGAUCUUGCUGCACUUAAGUACAGAGUGGUGCUGAAAGUUUUCCUCAUUAAGCUCCUAUGCCCAGUUGGUCGGGUGUAUAUGACAUGCAGUGAGCACAGGGACACAGAUAGGGAAGCAGAACAUUUUUUACAAUCACAUUUUUGUAAUCAGCUUGGUUGAAUGUAUAUAAAAGCUAAGUUGUUUUUCUUACUAACACUGUUCACUUAGCUAUCCCUUUUGUUUGUUCACGAUUAUAUUGAAUUUUUUUCAUGUUAAAUGUGUCUUAUUCAUGUUGUUAA